Cricetulus griseus (Chinese hamster) is the source of this 1998-nucleotide non-coding RNA. The record is from RefSeq and is a predicted model, not a curated record. NCBI's taxonomy places the organism in Eukaryota, Metazoa, Chordata, Mammalia, Rodentia, Cricetidae.
AUCAAACUAGGCCCUCCAAAUGUGGGUGACAGUUGUAUGGCUUGGACAGUCUGUGGGGCCACUGGCAGUUGGACUAUGAUUUAUCCCUAGUAUUUUAACUGGCUCUUUGGAGCCCAUUUUCUUUGGAGGGAUACCUUGCUCAGCCUAGAUAUAGCAGGGAGGGCCUUAGUCCUGCCUCAAAGGGAUGUGCCAGACUUUGUUAACUCCCCAUGGGAAGCCUUACCCUCUCUGAGGAUUGGAUGAAGGGUGAGGUGGGGGAAAGUUGGGGGGCAGGAGGAGGGAAAGGAGUGGGAAUUGGGAUUGGUAUGUAAAAUGAGAAAAGAUUAUUUAAAAAAUAAUAACAAAAAAGUUUUGUAGUUUUACAUGCACAAAAUUUAUGCAAUCUCAAGCCAGACUGAAUGCCAGAAUUGAGAGGGGCAUAUAAUGCCACACCUAGCAUAAUAGCUAUUCUGAUAGUUGGUGGGAGAGGAAGAACUAGUCUUCUUCAGGGAAGAGCACACCAAUUCACUAUCUAAUUACAAAUGGUCAGUCCUGAAAACCUGCAUAUGAGUAACAUUAUAUAGAUCGAACAGGUUAUAUUUAGAAAUAUAUGUAUAUAUAUAUAUGUAUAUACAUAUAUGCAUGUAGCAACAAUUAAUGGUAAAGGAGUCAAUGAAUUUGAAAGAGAGCAAGGAGGGGUUGUGGGAGGUAUAAGGUAGAAGAAAGAAGUGAUGCAAUUAUAUUAUACUAGUAAAAGAAAAAUCAGAAACCACAUACACACAAAGAUAGAAUGCUAUUAUCUUAUUAAUUACUAAAGGAUCUUCAUAUAGUCCCUUGUACUUCUAACUUUGGCAACUUGUGUCUUCUACCUUGGUUAGAUGAGUAGACUUUCAACUAUGCCAUAGAUCUUUGCAAAGUACUUCCUUUUCGUGUCCUUAUUUUUAUCUGUUGCUUUUCAUUUCCUGUGCCAUUGACCUUUGUGCAUCUUUAUGAUUUCAUUUCCCUGAUUUCUUUAGAUGAAAUUUACUAUUAUUUUAUUAGAUUAUUCAGGGGAGACCCUACUCAACAAUAUGGAAACUUUCAUAUCUUUAAUAUAAGCAAUAAAAUGAUAAUUGUCCCAUGUAAUUAGCUAUAUGUCACAAGUUGUAAUGUGCUGUUUUUCAUUCUCAUUCAAUUAAAAUUUGUUCUAAAUCCUUGUGUAAUUUCUUCUUCAAAAAUGAGUUAUUUAAAAUCAGGUUCCAAGUAUCUGGAAACUUCCCAUUCAGUUAUCUCUCUGUUAACGAUCUUUAGUUUAAUUCCAUUUUAGUCUGGGAACUUACUUCUUCUGAAUUAAAUGUUAAUUGCAUUUAUUGAAGUUUGUAGUAUUGUUCAGAAUACAGUCUUUCUUGGAGAAUGUUUGAUGUGUACUUGUAAACAACAGGUGUAUAUUAAUUGUUAUAAAUACAAUUAAUCUAGUCGUUUGUUCAGUGGUUUUUAAGUCUUGUGUGUUGCCUUUAUCCUUAGUCUGUAUCUCCAAUCAAUCAGACAACAUUCUGAAUUCUCCAUUUAUGGUCUUGAAUUUAUCUGUAUCUCUUGUUGAACACAAAGGAAAACAAAAACCAUCAAAGUGGGUACAACAAUGAGAGGAUGUGUUCAAGGUUCAUCUGAACUAAAUGGGACUCUUAGACGCAUUGUGGACCUCAGAACAAGUUGAUUAUGCAAAUGAAAAGGCACGGUUUUAAUCUCUGAACAGAAGACAAUAAUGAAACGGCAUUGACUUUGUGGGGUGACAGGAGAUGCUGCGCAGAAUCACUCAUAUUGAAUUGUAUUGUGGAAAUUUUCAUCUAACUCUCUCAAGUGGAAGUCUCAAUCUUGAAACAAAAGAAUUUUGAAAUCAAAAUUUAUAAUUAGAGAAUGCCAUGACUACUUUUAUUUAAUCCAACUUGGCUGCAAUUAAAAUGCACUUAAUUACUGGACAUUGAAUGCUGUCAUGCUGAAAACCCAACAAAGAGUGCUAUUAAACAUAGAACUUCAAAUGAA